RNAcentral lists this ribosomal RNA (675 nucleotides) under Lactobacillus delbrueckii subsp. lactis. Its description in RNAcentral is "bacterial SSU rRNA". It matches the Rfam family "Bacterial small subunit ribosomal RNA", at positions 57 to 702 of the family's 1533-position model. Lineage: Bacteria; Bacillati; Bacillota; Bacilli; Lactobacillales; Lactobacillaceae. The record is from RNAcentral.
GCAGUCGAGCGAGCUGAAUUCAAAGAUCCCUUCGGGGUGAUUUGUUGGACGCUAGCGGCGGAUGGGUGAGUAACACGUGGGCAAUCUGCCCUAAAGACUGGGAUACCACUUGGAAACAGGUGCUAAUACCGGAUAACAACAUGAAUCGCAUGAUUCAAGUUUGAAAGGCGGCGCAAGCUGUCACUUUAGGAUGAGCCCGCGGCGCAUUAGCUAGUUGGUGGGGUAAAGGCCUACCAAGGCAAUGAUGCGUAGCCGAGUUGAGAGACUGAUCGGCCACAUUGGGACUGAGACACGGCCCAAACUCCUACGGGAGGCAGCAGUAGGGAAUCUUCCACAAUGGACGCAAGUCUGAUGGAGCAACGCCGCGUGAGUGAAGAAGGUCUUCGGAUCGUAAAGCUCUGUUGUUGGUGAAGAAGGAUAGAGGCAGUAACUGGUCUUUAUUUGACGGUAAUCAACCAGAAAGUCACGGCUAACUACGUGCCAGCAGCCGCGGUAAUACGUAGGUGGCAAGCGUUGUCCGGAUUUAUUGGGCGUAAAGCGAGCGCAGGCGGAAUGAUAAGUCUGAUGUGAAAGCCCACGGCUCAACCGUGGAACUGCAUCGGAAACUGUCAUUCUUGAGUGCAGAAGAGGAGAGUGGAACUCCAUGUGUAGCGGUGGAAUGCGUAGAUAUAUGGA